UACGAAGGGGGCUAGCGUUGUUCGGAAUUACUGGGCGUAAAGCGCGCGUAGGCGGACAGUUAAGUCAGGGGUGAAAUCCUGAGGCUCAACCUCAGAAUUGCCUUUGAUACUGGCUGUCUUGAGACCGGGAGAGGUGAGUGGAACACCCAGUGUAGAGGUGAAAUUCGUAGAUAUUGGGUAGAACACCAGUGGCGAAGGCGGCUCACUGGCCCGGUUCUGACGCUGAGGCGCGAAAGCGUGGGGAGCAAAC
This 250-nucleotide ribosomal RNA is filed under the name uncultured bacterium. RNAcentral describes it as "partial 16S ribosomal RNA". It matches the Rfam family "Bacterial small subunit ribosomal RNA", at positions 524 to 773 of the family's 1533-position model. The record is from RNAcentral.